Molecule: ribosomal RNA, 497 nt
Filed under: uncultured bacterium
Lineage: Bacteria
Description: partial 16S ribosomal RNA
Rfam family: Bacterial small subunit ribosomal RNA
Source: RNAcentral
GAUGAACGCUGGCGGCGUGCCUAAUACAUGCAAGUCGAGCGAACAGACGAGGAGCUUGCUCCUCUGACGUUAGCGGCGGACGGGUGAGUAACACGUGGAUAACCUACCUAUAAGACUGGGAUAACUUCGGGAAACCGGAGCUAAUACCGGAUAAUAUAUUGAACUGCAUGGUUUAAUAGUGAAAGACGGUUUUGCUGUCACUUAUAGAUGGAUCCGCGCCGCAUUAGCUAGUUGGUAAGGUAACGGCUUACCAAGGCAACGAUGCGUAGCCGACCUGAGAGGGUGAUCGGCCACACUGGAACUGAGACACGGUCCAGACUCCUACGGGAGGCAGCAGUAGGGAAUCUUCCGCAAUGGGCGAAAGCUUGACGGAGCAACGCCGCGUGAGUGAUGAAGGUCUUCGGAUCGUAAAACUCUGUUAUUAGGGAAGAACGAAUGUGUAAGUAACUAUGCACGUCUUGACGGUACCUAAUCAGAAAGCCACGGCUAACUACGUG